GUGCCAAGCAGCCGCGGUAAUUCCAUCACUGAGAGCUAUUUCUUUCGUUGCUGCAAUUAAAACGUCCGUAGCCGUUGGUAGUUCGCGUGUCACUUUGAGAAAAUCGGAGCGUUCAUAGCAGGCUAGCCGCUGUACAGCACAGCAAAGCACGACAUCGCGGCAGCAAUGCCGCAUGGAGUACAUGGCGGCACGUGGUCAAUUGUAUUCCGGGGGGACAGGCGAAAUAGGAUGAUCCCCGGAGGACACCCAGGAGCGAAGGCAGUUGACAAGUGCCGUCCAGUUGGUCAAGGACGAAAGUGUGGGGAUAGACGAUGAUUAGAUACCGUUUUAUUCCACGCCUUAAACGCUACCAUCUAGACAGCGGGCGCAGUGCUCGCAGUCCCAAGGAAACCGGAAGGCUUCAGGCUUUGGGGGAAGUAUGGUUGCAAGACUGAAACUUGAAAGCAUUGACGGAAAGGUACCACAAGACGUGGAGUCUGCGGCUCAAUUUGACUCAACACGCAAAAUUUACCAGGCCCAGAGGCUUUAUGGAGCGACAGAUUGAGAGUUCUUUUGCGAUUAGGCCGAUAGUGGUGCAUGGCCGCUCCUAGUUCGUGGUGUUAACUGUCUGCUUUAUUGCGAUAACGAGCGAGAUCCCUAGGUUGUAUCAACAACCGAGCGCCAGCGCUGAGUUGGACGAGCGUAGGGGCUCUAGCAGGUCUGUGAUGCCC
This 710-nucleotide ribosomal RNA is filed under the name uncultured eukaryote. Its description in RNAcentral is "bacterial SSU rRNA". It matches the Rfam family "Eukaryotic small subunit ribosomal RNA", at positions 564 to 1472 of the family's 1831-position model. The record is from RNAcentral.